UGGGUUGUGGCUCAGUGGUAGAGUGCUUGCCUAGCACGUGGGAGGCACUGGGUUCGAUUCUCAGCACCACAU
Molecule: transfer RNA, 72 nt
Filed under: Ictidomys tridecemlineatus (thirteen-lined ground squirrel)
Lineage: Eukaryota; Metazoa; Chordata; Mammalia; Rodentia; Sciuridae
Description: Spermophilus tridecemlineatus (thirteen-lined ground squirrel) tRNA
Rfam family: tRNA
About the family: Transfer RNA (tRNA) molecules are approximately 80 nucleotides in length. Their secondary structure includes four short double-helical elements and three loops (D, anti-codon, and T loops).
Source: Rfam by way of RNAcentral